CAUCGCUGAUCCGAAAAUUUAUUGUAUUUACUUUAUUCAAUUGGACGUACCUGCAGCGAGUGGACGAGCAAGAGAGCUUUCCAAGGAGCCAGCCGAUCCCAGAGAGAAACCAGAGCAGCCGCCAUGUCCACGCAGCCAGCGGAGAACGAGGAGAGCGCGGCGGCCAAGUCCAAGCGACCUUCAGAUUCGGCCUUCAAGCAGCAGCGCCUGCCCGCCUGGCAGCCCGUCCUCACCGCCCGCACCGUCCUGCCCACCUUCUUCGUGAUCGGGGUGCUCUUCAUACCCAUCGGCGUCGUCCUGCUGCACCUGAGCAACACCGCCAACGAGCUGAUCAUCGACUACACCAAGUGCCGGCCGACGGGCGGGAACGCCACCUGCGCGGAGUACCUGGAGGCCAACGCCGGCGGCAAGUGCACCUGCCAGGUGCCCUUCGUCCUCCCCAAGGACUUCAAUGGCGUGGUGUACAUGUACUACGGGCUCACCAACUACUACCAGAACCAUCGGCGCUAUGUGAAGUCACGGGACGACGAGCAGCUGCUGGGUCACCUGUCGCAAACGCCCAGCUCGGACUGCGACCCCUUCUCCUACGAUCCGGAGUCGCGGAAGCCCAUUGCGCCCUGCGGCGCCAUCGCCAACUCACUGUUCAAUGACACGCUCACCCUGCUGCAGGCGGGCAACGAGAUCAAGCUGCUGAAGACGGGCAUCGCCUGGCCGUCGGACAAGCGGGUGAAGUUCCGCAACCCGGAGGGCAACCUCAACGUCUCCCUCGAGGACUUUGCCAAGCCAAUCUUCUGGCAGAAGAGCUUGGCCGAGCUGGACCCGGAGAAUCCGGAGAACAACGGCUUCCAGAACGAGGAUCUGAUCGUGUGGAUGCGCACCGCCGCUCUGCCCAGCUUCCGGAAGCUCUAUCGUCGUCUUGACCAGACGAACACCCAAUAUGCGAAUGGCCUGAAGGCCGGAAACUACACGCUGAACAUCACCUACCAGUAUCCGGUGGUCUCGUUCGACGGCACCAAGCGCAUGAUCCUGUCCACCACCUCGGUGCUCGGCGGCAAGAAUCCCUUCCUGGGCAUCGCGUACAUUGUGGUCGGCGCCAUUUGCAUCACCCUGGGCCUGGCCCUGCUCUUCAUCCACAUGCGAUGCAACCGCAGCAUAGUAGUGCACUAGGUGCGCUAAGUGCCGGGAAUACCUCAUAGCCCAUUGAAGCAGCAUUCCCUCCCAUGGCCAAUUUAGCUUUGCUCGCAACAUGGAGAUGAUCAAUGUGAACCCGCACACGCAGUACUCCUAGGCCGGGCCGGGCUGCUUCACUUAGCUCUAGUAGAUCCAUCUGUUUAAGCCUUAUCAGCAUAAAAUAGUUUCUAUCGACCAACUGGCUCUGUGUUAUCGACUGCUCUGCUCUUUGUGUUACCUAGCUGUGUGCAUUUGGCCGGGCGAGCGCAGGCCUCGGCCCCAUGCCUCUGGUUGAUUCUAUUUGCUUGUGACUUGUGAUUGUUUUUUGUAUAACUUAUUCUGCACAUCCGACACCGAGUGGGGCGCCCUGCGUAGAGCCACACGAAAUUCCACCAUCGCUUUACAAACCGCAAAGAAGUAUAGUACUUUGUGCCUGACCUAAUCUGUAUUGCCUUUUACUACGUUUAUACGUGCAAAUAAACACUGUUAAUGGCAGAA
RNA transcript from Drosophila biarmipes, 1668 nucleotides. It is a transcript of the gene named cell cycle control protein 50A, with no coding region annotated. NCBI's taxonomy places the organism in Eukaryota, Metazoa, Arthropoda, Insecta, Diptera, Drosophilidae. The transcript has 7 exons. The record is from RefSeq and is a predicted model, not a curated record.